This 859-nucleotide ribosomal RNA is filed under the name uncultured bacterium. RNAcentral describes it as "bacterial SSU rRNA". It matches the Rfam family "Bacterial small subunit ribosomal RNA", at positions 518 to 1378 of the family's 1533-position model. The record is from RNAcentral.
CGGUAAUACGAAGGGACCUAGCGUAGUUCGGAAUUACUGGGCUUAAAGAGCACGUAGGUGGUUGAAAAAGUUGGUGGUGAAAUCCCAGAGCUUAACUCUGGAACUGCCAUCGAAACUUUUUAGCUAGAGUAUGAUAGAGGAAAGUAGAAUUUCUAGUGUAGAGGUGAAAUUCGUAGAUAUUAGAAAGAAUACCAAUUGCGAAGGCAGCUUUCUGGAUCAUUACUGACACUGAGGUGCGAAAGCAUGGGUAGCGAAGAGGAUUAGAUACCCUCGUAGUCCAUGCCGUAAACGAUGUGUGCUAGACGUUGGAAAUUUAUUUUCAGUGUCGCAGCGAAAGCGAUAAGCACACCGCCUGGGGAGUACGACCGCAAGGUUAAAACUCAAAUGAAUUGACGGGGACCCGCACAAGCAGUGGAGCAUGUGGUUUAAUUCGAAGAUACGCGCAGAACCUUACCAACACUUGACAUGUUCGUCGCGACUUUAAGAGACUAAAGUCUUCGGUUCGGCCGGACGAAACACAGGUGCUGCAUGGCUGUCGUCAGCUCGCGUCGUGAGAUGUUGGGUUAAGUCCCGCAACGAGCGCAACCCUUACUUUUAGUUGCCACCAUUUAGUUGGGCACUCUGAAAGAACUGCCAGUGAUAAGCUGGAGGAAGGUGGGGAUGACGUCAAGUCCUCAUGGCCCUUACGUGUUGGGCUACACACGUGCUACAAUGGCACUUACAAUAGGAAGCAAAGAGGCGACUCCAAGCAAAUCCUAAAAAAGUGCCUCAGUUCGGAUUGCACUCUGCAACUCGAGUGCAUGAAGCUGGAAUUGCUAGUAAUCGCGGAUCAGCGCGCCGCGGUGAAUACGUUCCCGGG